RNAcentral lists this unclassified non-coding RNA (283 nucleotides) under Hevea brasiliensis (rubber tree). Lineage: Eukaryota; Viridiplantae; Streptophyta; Magnoliopsida; Malpighiales; Euphorbiaceae. The record is from RNAcentral.
AGCCAUUCCACAUAGACUUAAAGAAAUGAUAAUAAAAACAUAGGAAAUUCUCUUAAAGCAGUUGUAAAUAAAAUUGUAACUUCCUAUCUCAAGUCAUACCCUCACAGUCAACCUACAUGGUAAAGGUUGCAGAGUGUAGACCAACCAUAAUGCUAAAAUUAGUGAAACAAUUAUUGAAAAGUUAACUACUCACUAAUUACAACAUAAAAGAACAAUUCCAUUGGUAUAUCUAAAGCAAUAGUUUAAACUUAAACCAUACCCCAAGAACAAUGACAGAUGUUGU